UAUUGCACAAUGGGCGAAAGCCUGAUGCAGCGACGCCGCGUGAGGGAUGACGGCCUUCGGGUUGUAAACCUCUUUCAGUAAGGAAGAAGCGAAAGUGACGGUACUUGCAGAAGAAGCGCCGGCUAACUACGUGCCAGCAGCCGCGGUAAUACGUAGGGCGCGAGCGUUAUCCGGAAUUAUUGGGCGUAAAGAGCUCGUAGGCGGUUUGUCGCGUCUGCCGUGAAAGUCCGGGGCUUAACUCCGGAUCUGCGGUGGGUACGGGCAGGCUAGAGUGCAGUAGGGGAGACUGGAAUUCCUGGUGUAGCGGUGAAAUGCGCAGAUAUCAGGAGGAACACCGAUGGCGAAGGCAGGUCUCUGGGCUGUAACUGACGCUGAGGAGCGAAAGCAUGGGUAGCGAACAGG
RNAcentral lists this ribosomal RNA (402 nucleotides) under uncultured bacterium. RNAcentral describes it as "bacterial SSU rRNA". It matches the Rfam family "Bacterial small subunit ribosomal RNA", at positions 362 to 776 of the family's 1533-position model. The record is from RNAcentral.